Molecule: ribosomal RNA, 497 nt
Filed under: uncultured bacterium
Lineage: Bacteria
Description: partial 16S ribosomal RNA
Rfam family: Bacterial small subunit ribosomal RNA
Source: RNAcentral
GAUGAACGCUGGCGGCGUGCCUAAUACAUGCAAGUCGAGCGAACGGACGAGAAGCUUGCUCCUCUGAUGUUAGCGGCGGACGGGUGAGUAACACGUGGAUAACCUACCUAUAAGACUGGGAUAACUUCGGGAAACCGGAGCUAAUACCGGAUAACAUUUUGAACCGCAUGGUUCAACAGUGAAAGACGGUCUUGCUGUCACUUAUAGAUGGAUCCGCGCUGCAUUAGCUAGUUGGUAAGGUAACGGCUUACCAAGGCAACGAUGCAUAGCCGACCUGAGAGGGUGAUCGGCCACACUGGAACUGAGACACGGUCCAGACUCCUACGGGAGGCAGCAGUAGGGAAUCUUCCGCAAUGGGCGAAAGCCUGACGGAGCAACGCCGCGUGAGUGAUGAAGGUCUUCGGAUCGUAAAACUCUGUUAUUAGGGAAGAACAUAUGUGUAAGUAACUAUGCACAUCUUGACGGUACCUAAUCAGAAAGCCACGGCUAACUACGUG